RNAcentral lists this transfer RNA (64 nucleotides) under Phaolus metallicus. Its description in RNAcentral is "tRNA-Asn". The record is from RNAcentral. Lineage: Eukaryota; Metazoa; Arthropoda; Insecta; Coleoptera; Cerambycidae.
UUAACCGAAGCCAAAAUAGAGGCAUAUCACUGUUAAUGAUAAAAUUGGGAACCCCCCGGUUAAG